Long non-coding RNA from Lepisosteus oculatus (spotted gar), 1947 nucleotides. RefSeq lists it as uncharacterized. NCBI's taxonomy places the organism in Eukaryota, Metazoa, Chordata, Actinopteri, Semionotiformes, Lepisosteidae. The record is from RefSeq and is a predicted model, not a curated record.
UCGGGCAGAGAGGGAGGAAGGGAGGGGGGAAGACGCAGAAUCGGAAAAAAUAGCGUUUUUACUUCUUUAAAAGGCUCGAAAAAUGCCAGAAAAAUCGGCAAAAAAUACGGGAAGUCCAAGGGAGGCGGCGGGCAGCCGUGAGAGUGGGGGAGACGGACCGCAGGGGUGAUUAAGGAGGCAGGAGAAACGUUGGAAAGAAGAAAGGGGUUCUGACUCGUCUUCGGCUGUGGAAAUCGUCAUUUUUUCAAAAAAUCGUAAAAAAUAAUUGGCCUUCCCUAAAAAUACUAAAAAAAAUUCAAAAAUUAUUUGGGGGGCUGGAGAGUGGGCUAGGUGGUUUUACGCCCGAGUUUUCUGCGAUUUGGGUCUAUUUUUAACGGUAAAUUUGAGCGGGAGCGAGGAUUAGAAAUCGGUACAGUCGGCGAGACUUGUACAGGAGGGCAACAUCAAUAUCGGGCUGUCGAUCAUAAGAAAGCAGCCGCUUUUGUGCGAAUAUUAUGGUAUUUUAGGCUUUUACGUGGAGAAUAUGAAGAUGAUUGCCAAAGACAUAUUCGCGCUUUUUUCUGACAUCUUUGGGGAGAAUAAUACCUUUGUUGUGAAUAAGCUGAUGGAUCCUCCGGUUUGGAAAGGGAACUUUUUAUCCUCCGUGUUAAGAAAAUCCUGGAGAGAACAUGAAAACGCUGUUUUGACCUGAGAAAAACAAGACCUCAAUAUCUCGUCCCCCUUGAAGGCUUGUUAAAAACCUUGCUGUGUUGUAGCAGCACAUAAUGGUUUGUUGGUUGUACGGAGAUGCAAGCCAUACUGUGCUGCUGCAAAAACACAAGGAUCUGAGCUCCAGCCAUACUGGAAAUAUGCAAAGGUUAUGCAAAGCAGCUUUGGAAAUGCUGGAAAUCGGACUUCGGUGAAAAAUAGCAUAACGUUUAUAAUGGCAGCCAUGCUUUAGCAGCACGUAAAUAUUGGAGUUAAACCACUUCAUAUCUCUCCAGUAUUGAUCGUGCUGCUGAAGUAAGAUUGUUCAUUUGUCAUCACGAAGAAGCCAGUUGUGGAUGAGAUUUUAUUUUCAUAACCUGGAAAACCUAAGAUUGUUAUGGAAACUGUAAGUAAAACUUGGUGCACCUUUUCAUGCCUUUUCUAACAUUUUACUUGGCUUGUUAUCACUUAGUUUAAGUCAUUGGCUUUUUCAAUUCAGAAUUGCUCCAACAAAAUUGAACAUGUGCAUGAUAAAACUACCUCUUGUUGUCAGAACAGUCACCUAAUGCAAUAUAAUGUAUAAGGUAAUUCACAUAAGUUCAGGAUUUUCCUGGGAAGGUAAUAUAUUCAGGAAGCUUUCUAAAAAUGUAUUCAAGGUGUAUUUCCAGUAGUCAUUGUUGGGGUUUCCUGAAAUCAUGGAGUUCCAUGUUUUUUUAUGUCUGUCUUGUACUCCAUGUGAAAAAAUGUAAAUUUUAAUUUACUGUUUAAUAUGCGAAAUCAUACCUCAAAUGUUAUAUACUGUGUUAUUUUAGUGCAGAUGUCUGUUUAUAGUUUAGAAAGUUUAGUAAUUUUCUCUUUGAAAUGAACUUGUAAGCAUUAAACUUCAUAGAUUUAAAUAAGUUUCCUGUAAUUUUUUGUAUCAGUAAUGCUGUGAUUUACUUUAAACUCACGUGCUUCUAAUUAUCCCUUUUAAUGGGUUGGUAGCAAGUUACUCAGCUGGAUAUAGGCCUAGGUUUCGGCCUGCAGAGGUAGCAAUACAACCGGUUAUUUUUAGAUCGACACUUACCUUUAGAAGAUCUUGCAGGAAUUAUUUUUUGCCUUCCCAAGUGAUUUGAUAAUCUAGAAUUUGUCAUUUGAAAUGAUUUUUAUUUCCCUUUUUGAAUUCAUGUUGGGUUCACCAGUAUGUAACUCUAUAAUCAUUCUUUGGACUGUUUAUAUGGGUAUAUAUUUGAAUUCUAAAUAAAUCCAUUUUGAAUAUUG